This 253-nucleotide ribosomal RNA is filed under the name uncultured bacterium. RNAcentral describes it as "partial 16S ribosomal RNA". It matches the Rfam family "Bacterial small subunit ribosomal RNA", at positions 524 to 776 of the family's 1533-position model. The record is from RNAcentral.
UACGUAGGGUGCAAGCGUUGUCCGGAAUUAUUGGGCGUAAAGAGCUCGUAGGCGGUCUGUCGCGUCGGCUGUGAAAACCCGGGGCUCAACCCCGGGCCUGCAGUCGAUACGGGCAGACUAGAGUGCGGUAGGGGAGACUGGAAUUCCUGGUGUAGCGGUGGAAUGCGUAGAUAUCAGAAAGAACACCUGUGGCGAAGGCGGUGGUCUGGGCCGAAACUGACGCUGAGGCGCGAAAGCCAGGGGAGCAAACGGG